UAUUGCACAACGGGGGAAAGCCUGAUGCAGCAACGCCGCGUGAGCGAUGAAGGCCUUCGGGUCGUAAAGCUCUGUCCUCAAGGAAGAUNNUGACGGUACUUGAGGAGGAAGCCCCGGCUAACUACGUGCCAGCAGCCGAGGUAAUACGUAGGGGGCUAGCGUUAUCCGGAAUUACUGGGCGUAAAGGGUGCGUAGGUGGUUUCUUAAGUCAGAGGUGAAAGGCUACGGCUCAACCGUAGUAAGCCUUUGAAACUGGGAAACUUGAGUGCAGGAGAGGAGAGUGGAAUUCCUAGCGUAGCGGUGAAAUGCGUAGAUAUUAGGAGGAACCCCAGUUGCGAAGGCGGCUCUCUGGACUGUAACUGACACUGAGGCACGAAAGCGUGGGGAGCAAACAGG
RNAcentral lists this ribosomal RNA (396 nucleotides) under uncultured bacterium. Its description in RNAcentral is "bacterial SSU rRNA". It matches the Rfam family "Bacterial small subunit ribosomal RNA", at positions 362 to 776 of the family's 1533-position model. The record is from RNAcentral.